AUAACUGCUGGACAAGUCGAAACUUGGGCAGAUGAAGGGCAUCCCAUCCCUGGAAGUGUCCAAAAGGGAUACAGCAACUUUAUCGAGGGGUAUAUUCAUGACAUUAAAGUCAGGAGGAGAGAGGAUGGGUGCACAGUGAAAGCAAAGAUCCUUGAUUACUAGCUUUAACCCUCUCUGGUGAAAGCUAGGGCUAAUAAAGCUAUUUCCAUCCAUGAGGAAGACACAGACACCCUACACAGUUCAGGUGGACCUUUCAGCUGGAAAUCCAGUUAUCGGCGAGGUGAUAUGCAACUGCAAAGCUGGCCUGGGCCGUUGUGCACAUGUUAUUGGCUUACUGUACACAUUAGCACCCUACCAGAGGUUGGGAUUGAAGUCUGUCCCCCCUGGGCAAAGUUUAACACCUAAACCCAUUAAUUUAGUGGAAAUAAAUAAAAUAAAGCCACAGCAAAAUGAUCUGGCCCCUGCUACAAAGGUACGGAGUGAAGGGGUUGUCAGUAACCUUUAUUGUCCAGUGUCACUUCCCCUUCCUUGUAAAGACUUUGCAGAGAGAUUGCAAAGAAAUCAUAAUGAAAUAGGAAGCACAUGCCAGUUGGCAUCUUUAAUGAACUCCCAAAUGUAUGAGCCACAGUAUAUCCCAUCACCUUAUGGUGACAUUCCUCUCGGGUCUGUCCUGAGUUAUCAUAUUCAGCCUGUAGUAACCCCCUCUCAUAACUAUUCUCCCUUUGCAUUGCCUCUCUAACCUUGUAGCUUCACCACUGUUCUGAGUCAGAAAGAGUUGGAUUAUUAUAAUGGCAUUUCAGUGACACAAUCAGACUCUGAACAUAUAUAGAGAGAAACAAGGAACCAAAAUUACAUCAACUACCUUUAAAAGGGUGUGCUCAAGACGAGAUGACUUUGACAGUCUCGCUGUCAACUUAGAGGAAUAAAAGACAGGUACAAACAAAAGCUAUG
Long non-coding RNA from Alosa alosa (allis shad), 951 nucleotides. RefSeq lists it as uncharacterized. NCBI's taxonomy places the organism in Eukaryota, Metazoa, Chordata, Actinopteri, Clupeiformes, Clupeidae. The transcript has 3 exons. The record is from RefSeq and is a predicted model, not a curated record.